RNAcentral lists this unclassified non-coding RNA (198 nucleotides) under uncultured Basidiomycota. RNAcentral's name for it is "sequence contains ITS2". The record is from RNAcentral. Lineage: Eukaryota; Fungi; Basidiomycota.
UUCAAUUAUCAAUGCUACUCAUUUUGUUAAUGAUCUAGCAUUGGACUUUGAAGGUUUAUGCUGGCUGUUAAUUAGCUCAGCUCCUUUGAAAUGCAUUAGUGGCUUCAAUGGCUAAACACCAUGAGUAUAAUUUUUGUUGGUGAAAUGUCAAAUUUGUUAGCUGCUAUCUAACAGUCUUUCAAAGACAAUUUAUAAGGA